RNAcentral lists this ribosomal RNA (508 nucleotides) under Metschnikowia sp. (in: budding yeasts & allies). RNAcentral's name for it is "eukaryotic LSU rRNA". It matches the Rfam family "Eukaryotic large subunit ribosomal RNA", at positions 65 to 656 of the family's 3401-position model. Lineage: Eukaryota; Fungi; Ascomycota; Pichiomycetes; Serinales; Metschnikowiaceae. The record is from RNAcentral.
CCAACAGGGAUUGCCUCAGUAACGGCGAGUGAAGCGGCAAAAGCUCAAAUUUGAAAUCCCCCGGGAAUUGUAAUUUGAAGAGAUUUGGGUCCGGCCGGCGGGGGUUAAGUCCACUGGAAAGUGGCGCCACAGAGGGUGACAGCCCCGUGAACCCCCUUAACGCCCUCAUCCCAGAUCUCCAAGAGUCGAGUUGUUUGGGAAUGCAGCUCUAAGUGGGUGGUAAAUUCCAUCUAAAGCUAAAUACCGGCGAGAGACCGAUAGCGAACAAGUACAGUGAUGGAAAGAUGAAAAGCACUUUGAAAAGAGAGUGAAAAAGUACGUGAAAUUGUUGAAAGGGAAGGGCUUGCAAGCAGACACUUAACUGGGCCAGCAUCGGGGCGGCGGGAAACAAAACCACCGGGGGAAAUGUCCCUUUCGAGGGAUUAUACCCCGGCUCCUCUAUUUCCUCGCCACCCCGAGGCCUGCAAUCUAAGGAUGCUGGCGUAAUGGUUGCAAGUCGCCCGUCUUG